UAGGGAAUCUUCCGCAAUGGGCGAAAGCCUGACGGAGCAACGCCGCGUGAGUGAUGAAGGUCUUCGGAUCGUAAAACUCUGUUAUUAGGGAAGAACAAAUGUGUAAGUAACUAUGCACGUCUUGACGGUACCUAAUCAGAAAGCCACGGCUAACUACGUGCCAGCAGCCGCGGUAAUACGUAGGUGGCAAGCGUUAUCCGGAAUUAUUGGGCGUAAAGCGCGCGUAGGCGGUUUUUUAAGUCUGAUGUGAAAGCCCACGGCUCAACCGUGGAGGGUCAUUGGAAACUGGAAAGCUUGAGUGCCGAAGAGGAAAGUGGAAUUCCAUGUGUGGCGAUGAAUUGCGAAGAGAUAAGGAGGAACACCAGUGGCGAAGGCGACUUUCUGGUCUGUAACUGACGCUAAUGUGCAAAAGCGUGGGGAUCAGACAGG
RNAcentral lists this ribosomal RNA (429 nucleotides) under Actinomycetes bacterium. RNAcentral's name for it is "Actinobacteria bacterium partial 16S ribosomal RNA". It matches the Rfam family "Bacterial small subunit ribosomal RNA", at positions 355 to 776 of the family's 1533-position model. The record is from RNAcentral. Lineage: Bacteria; Bacillati; Actinomycetota; Actinomycetes.